RNAcentral lists this ribosomal RNA (254 nucleotides) under uncultured bacterium. RNAcentral describes it as "partial 16S ribosomal RNA". It matches the Rfam family "Bacterial small subunit ribosomal RNA", at positions 79 to 334 of the family's 1533-position model. The record is from RNAcentral.
CUUUCUUUGCUGGCGACCGGCGCACGGGUGAGUAACACGUAUCCAACCUGCCCUUUACUCGGGGAUAGCCUUUCGAAAGAAAGAUUAAUACCCGAUAGCAUAAUGAUUCCGCAUGGUUUCAUUAUUAAAGGAUUCCGGUAAAGGAUGGGGAUGCGUUCCAUUAGGUUGUUGGUGAGGUAACGGCUCACCAAGCCUUCGAUGGAUAGGGGUCCUGAGAGGAAGGUCCCCCACAUUGGAACUGAGACACGGUCCAA